UGCAAAGUGCUUGGCUCCUUUUAAUUGGUA
This 30-nucleotide non-coding RNA is filed under the name Mus musculus (house mouse). The record is from RNAcentral. Lineage: Eukaryota; Metazoa; Chordata; Mammalia; Rodentia; Muridae.